UGCCCACCACUAUAUGGUGAGAUAAAGAAGGAGACAAUGAAGCAUUUAACCAGCAUUUCUGACUAGCAAGAACACUUCAGUGGUAGCCCUGGUGCAGUUCAAUGCAGUCUUAUCAAGAGUUUGAAACUGGGGAAGCCAAUGUGGCACAGCAGAGGAUAAAAAAGCACAGGAGCACCAGCAGGGGCUGUGGAAAACAUGGUUAAGUUUGAAAGCAGAGGGGAAGAACAGUGUGGAGAACAGAGUGGAGAACAGUGACAUGAGCAACUAUACAAUCAGCUAAAGCAUUGUUUGAGCAUUUUGAAGGCUUCUGAUGAGUACAGCGCUCCAUGACUUGACUGCUGGUGGUUAAAUAGUGACAGGCAUUGCUGAACUUUGCCCCAGGUAGCUCCGCAAAGGGUUUGGAAAUGGAAAGGUGGGUGACACAACCCGUGCGUGUUUCCUGGGUGCGCUUUGAUUCCCAACGGACAGUGAGUCAUGGAGGGUGAUAAAUUAUAGUAUUUCUCCAUGGGUGUAAGAAGCUGGCCUUUCCUAGCACAAAACAAGGACUCGGUAAUGCCUCACACAUUGCAAAGAUCACUGCCUACGAACACAAGCCAGGCCUAGAGCGGAUGUCGGAUCCCCCUGCAGGUGGAGAAGUCUUAAAAUGCAGCUUCCAAGUGCAAGAAAUGGAGUCCAUCAGAAACAAAGCUGAAACACCAAACAAGUCUCAGCAAACAGUUCUGUUGUUAGUAAGGCAUGGGAACUAUGUGCGAAUUGUUCAUUGUUGGGUUCUGCAUCCAUAAUUUUUAGUGAAAAUAUGGGAAGUGUAAAUUAGAUAUUACACAGAGGCUAUUCAAAAUUUUUAAUGAUACAGACCUGGAUUUUACAAAAUUUAGCUACAAGUUUAUAGGGCACUGAGGAGGUUCCUGGAAUAGGACUUUGUCUGGGUCAUUCAAUUCACAUAUUUCAAAUUUUUUUUUUUAAAAAUAAGCAUCAAGAGACAUCCUCUUGCUAAAGCUUUCAGAAAUUGCUUA
Molecule: long non-coding RNA, 1013 nt
Organism: Pseudopipra pipra
Lineage: Eukaryota; Metazoa; Chordata; Aves; Passeriformes; Pipridae
Exons: 2
Source: RefSeq, a predicted model, not a curated record